AAGGUUUUAAGUUAUAAAAACUAAUAAUCUUCAAAAUUAUAAAAAAAGAAAAAAAAGAUACUCUUUAAGCCUUA
This 74-nucleotide transfer RNA is filed under the name Cressida cressida. Its description in RNAcentral is "tRNA-Trp". Lineage: Eukaryota; Metazoa; Arthropoda; Insecta; Lepidoptera; Papilionidae. The record is from RNAcentral.